Molecule: RNase P RNA, 405 nt
Filed under: Alphaproteobacteria bacterium
Lineage: Bacteria; Pseudomonadati; Pseudomonadota; Alphaproteobacteria
Description: RNase P RNA component class A
Rfam family: Bacterial RNase P class A
About the family: Ribonuclease P (RNase P) is a ubiquitous endoribonuclease, found in archaea, bacteria and eukarya as well as chloroplasts and mitochondria.
Source: RNAcentral
GCGGAUGGCCGGAUGGCCGCGCGUCCCCGUCUUCGGGCGGGGAUGCGAGGAAAGUCCGGGCUCCACGGAGGCACGGUGCCGGGUAACGCCCGGCGGGGGAGGGGGAGACCCGGAACCCCAGGGAAAGCGCCACAGAGAACAGACCGCCGGAGUUGGCUCCGGCAAGGGUGAAACGGUGGGGUAAGAGCCCACCGCGCCCCCGGCAACGGGGGCGGCACGGCAAGCCCCACCGGGAGCAAGGUCAGAUAGGGACGACAGGGUGUGAUGCCCGGGGCCGCCUCCGGUCCGUUGUCCGGGUAGACCGCACGAGGCCGUGAGCGACCGCGGCCCCAGAUGAAUGGCCAUCCCCGCGCCACCCUCCGGGGCGGAGCGGGACAGAACCCGGCUUACCGGCCAUCCGCACCU